AGUGAACGCUGGCGGUAGGCCUAACACAUGCAAGUCGAACGGCAGCACAGGAGAGCUUGCUCUCUAGGUGGCGAGUGGCGGACGGGUGAGGAAUACAUCGGAAUCUGCCCAGUCGUGGGGGAUAACGUAGGGAAACUUACGCUAAUACCGCAUACGACCUUCGGGUGAAAGAGGGGGAUCGCAAGACCUCUCGCGAUUGGAUGCGCCGAUGUCGGAUUAGAUAGUUAGCGGGGUAAUGGCCCACCAAGGCGACGAUCCGUAGCUGGUCUGAGAGGAUGAUCAGCCACACUGGAACUGAGACACGGUCCAGACUCCUACGGGAGGCAGCAGUGGGGAAUAUUGGACAAUGGGCGCAAGCCUGAUCCAGCCAUACCGCGUGGGUGAAGAAGGCCUUCGGGUUGUAAAGCCCUUUUGUUGGGAAAGAAAUCUUUCAGGCUAAUACCCUGGGAGGAUGACGGUACCCAAAGAAUAAGCACCGGCUAACUUCGUG
RNAcentral lists this ribosomal RNA (490 nucleotides) under uncultured bacterium. Its description in RNAcentral is "partial 16S ribosomal RNA". It matches the Rfam family "Bacterial small subunit ribosomal RNA", at positions 29 to 507 of the family's 1533-position model. The record is from RNAcentral.